Molecule: ribosomal RNA, 253 nt
Filed under: uncultured bacterium
Lineage: Bacteria
Description: partial 16S ribosomal RNA
Rfam family: Bacterial small subunit ribosomal RNA
Source: RNAcentral
UACGAGGGGGGCAAAUGUUGUUCGGAAUCACUGGGCGUAAAGGGAGCGUAGGCGGGCUCUUAAGUUAGGUGUUUAAUCCCGGGGCCCAACCCCGGUCGUGCACUUAAAACUGGGAGUCUUGAAUAGUGGAGAGGUCAGUGGAAUUGGGGGUGUAGCGGUGGAAUGCGUAGAGAUCCCCAAGAACACCAGUUGCGAAGGCGGCUGACUGGACACAUAUUGACGCUGAGGCUCGAAAGCAUGGGGAGCAAACAGG